RNAcentral lists this ribosomal RNA (735 nucleotides) under uncultured bacterium. Its description in RNAcentral is "bacterial SSU rRNA". It matches the Rfam family "Bacterial small subunit ribosomal RNA", at positions 28 to 776 of the family's 1533-position model. The record is from RNAcentral.
GACGAACGCUGGCGCGCUGCCUAACACAUGCAAGUCGAACGAGCGAGAGAGAGCUUGCUUUCUCAAGCGAGUGGCGAACGGGUGAGUAACGCGUGAGGAACCUGCCUCAAAGAGGGGGACAACAGUUGGAAACGACUGCUAAUACCGCAUAAGCCCACGACCCGGCAUCGGGUUGAGGGAAAAGGAGCAAUCCGCUUUGAGAUGGCCUCGCGUCCGAUUAGCUGGUUGGUGAGGUAACGGCCCACCAAGGCGACGAUCGGUAGCCGGACUGAGAGGUUGAACGGCCACAUUGGGACUGAGACACGGCCCAGACUCCUACGGGAGGCAGCAGUGGGGAAUAUUGCACAAUGGGGGAAACCCUGAUGCAGCGACGCCGCGUGGAGGAAGAAGGUCUUCGGAUUGUAAACUCCUGUUGUUGAGGAAGAUAAUGACGGUACUCAACAAGGAAGUGACGGCUAACUACGUGCCAGCAGCCGCGGUAAAACGUAGGUCACAAGCGUUGUCCGGAAUUACUGGGUGUAAAGGGAGCGCAGGCGGGAAGACAAGUUGGAAGUGAAAUCUAUGGGCUCAACCCAUAAACUGCUUUCAAAACUGUUUUUCUUGAGUAGUGCAGAGGUAGGCGGAAUUCCCGGUGUAGCGGUGGAAUGCGUAGAUAUCGGGAGGAACACCAGUGGCGAAGGCGGCCUACUGGGCACCAACUGACGCUGAGGCUCGAAAGUGUGGGUAGCANACAGG